UACGGGGGGUGCGAGCGUUAAUAGGAAUUACUGGGCGUAAAGUGUGCGCAGGCGGCGUUGCAAGUCGAGUGUGAAAGCCCCGGGCUUAACUUGGGAAUUGCGCUCGAAACUACUUGGCUGGAGUGUGGCAGAGGAAGGUGGAAUUCCACGUGUAGCGGUGAAAUGCGUAGAGAUGUGGAGGAACACCAAUGGCGAAGGCAGCCUUCUGGGCCAACACUGACGCUCAUGCACGAAAGCGUGGGGAGCAAACAGG
This 253-nucleotide ribosomal RNA is filed under the name uncultured bacterium. RNAcentral describes it as "partial 16S ribosomal RNA". It matches the Rfam family "Bacterial small subunit ribosomal RNA", at positions 524 to 776 of the family's 1533-position model. The record is from RNAcentral.